RNAcentral lists this long non-coding RNA (922 nucleotides) under Mus musculus (house mouse). Its description in RNAcentral is "long non-coding RNA chr4:38663808-38664730". Lineage: Eukaryota; Metazoa; Chordata; Mammalia; Rodentia; Muridae. The record is from RNAcentral.
UCUAAGAGUCUCCCAAGGAGCCAGAACAGUCAAAGAAGCUUUGAAACAACUGACUAGAGUCUGAGGAGUCAUGUUGACCAAUGGGGAACACUCACCAACUGUGUGAUAAUGAGAGAUCUAAACACCAUGAGACCCAGGGGCUUUGUGUUUUUCGUCUAUGCUGUGCCAUUGUGGAGGAAGUGGAUGCUGCCAUGAACGCAAAACCACACAAGGUGGAUGGAAGAGUUGUGGAACCUAAGAGCGCUGGGUCAAGAGAGGAUUCUCAGAGACCAGGUGAAAAAGAUCUUUGUUUGGUUAUAUUAAAGAAGACACUGAAGAACAUCACCUAGGAGCUUAUUUUGAGUAUUAUGGAAAAAUUGAAUUGAAAAAAAAAUAUGACUGACAGCAGCAGUUAAAAAAAAAAAAAAAGAGGCAGUUUGCUUUGAUGACCAUGACUCUGUGGUUAAGAUUGUUAUUUAGAAACACCAUACUGUGAAUGGUCACAACUGUGAAGUAAGAAAAGGUUUGUUGAAACAAGAGAUGGCUAGUACUUCAUCCAGACAGAGAGCUCGAAAUGAUUCUAGCAACUUUAGUGGUGUUUGUAGAAGUGGUUUUGUUGGCAAUGACGAUUUUGGUCAAAAAGGAAAUCUUCAGUGGUCCUGGUAGCUUUGGUGGCAGCCCUGGUGCUGGUGGAUAUGGUGGCAGUGGGGGACUGUGGGGAUGGCUAUAACGUAUUUGGUAAUGAUGGAAGCAAUUUUAGAGAUGGUAGAAGGUAUAAAAUUUUUGACAAUUACAACAAUCAGUUUUAAGAUUUUGGACCGAUGAAGGGAGAAAACUUUGGAGGCAAGAACUCUAGCCCUUAUAGUGAUGAAGGCCAGUACUUCACUAAACCAAACGUGGCUAUGGAGGUUCCAGCAGCAGCAACAGCUAUGGCAAUGGCAGA